Molecule: unclassified non-coding RNA, 253 nt
Filed under: uncultured Staphylococcaceae bacterium
Lineage: Bacteria; Bacillati; Bacillota; Bacilli; Caryophanales; Staphylococcaceae
Description: contains 16S-23S intergenic spacer region
Rfam family: Bacterial small subunit ribosomal RNA
Source: RNAcentral
UACGUAGGUGGCAAGCGUUAUCCGGAAUUAUUGGGCGUAAAGCGCGCGUAGGCGGUAAGACAUGUCUGAUGUGAAAUCCCCCGGCUCAACCGGGGAGGGUCAUUGGAAACUGUUUUACUUGAGUGCAGAAGAGGAGAGUGGAAUUCCAUGUGUAGCGGUGAAAUGCGCAGAGAUAUGGAGGAACACCAGUGGCGAAGGCGGCUCUCUGGUCUGUAACUGACGCUGAUGUGCGAAAGCGUGGGGAUCAAACAGG